Molecule: ribosomal RNA, 253 nt
Filed under: uncultured bacterium
Lineage: Bacteria
Also listed under: 1 other name
Description: partial 16S ribosomal RNA
Rfam family: Bacterial small subunit ribosomal RNA
Source: RNAcentral
UACAGAGGGUGCAAGCAUUAAUCGGAUUUAUUGGGCGUAAAGAGCGCGUAGGCGGGUUUUUAAGUCAGAUGUGAAAUCCCGGGGCUCAACCCCGGAACAGCAUUUGAAACUGAGAAUCUUGAGGGUAGUCGGAGAAAAUGGAAUUCCACGUGUAGCGGUGAAAUGCGUAGAUAUGUGGAAGAACACCGGUGGCGAAGGCGAUUUUCUAGAUUAUUCCUGACGCUGAGGCGCGAAAGCAAGGGGAUCAAACAGG